Molecule: unclassified non-coding RNA, 27 nt
Filed under: Dictyostelium discoideum
Lineage: Eukaryota; Evosea; Eumycetozoa; Dictyosteliales; Dictyosteliaceae
Source: RNAcentral
CUGAAAUGUUUGAUGAAACUGAAACUG